RNAcentral lists this ribosomal RNA (497 nucleotides) under uncultured bacterium. RNAcentral describes it as "partial 16S ribosomal RNA". It matches the Rfam family "Bacterial small subunit ribosomal RNA", at positions 28 to 507 of the family's 1533-position model. The record is from RNAcentral.
GAUGAACGCUGGCGGCGUGCCUAAUACAUGCAAGUCGAGCGAACAGACGAGGAGCUUGCUCCUCUGACGUUAGCGGCGGACGGGUGAGUAACACGUGGAUAACCUACCUAUAAGACUGGGAUAACUUCGGGAAACCGGAGCUAAUACCGGAUAAUAUAUUGAACCGCAUGGUUCAAUAGUGAAAGACGGUUUUGCUGUCACUUAUAGAUGGAUCCGCGCCGCAUUAGCUAGUUGGUAAGGUAACGGCUUACCAAGGCAACGAUGCGUAGCCGACCUGAGAGGGUGAUCGGCCACACGGGAACUGAGACACGGUCCAGACUACUACGGGAGGCAGCAGUAGGGAAUCUUCCGCAAUGGGCGAAAGCUUGACAGAGCAACGCCGCGUGAGUGAUGAAGGUCUUCGGAUCGUAAAACUCUGUUAUUAGGGAAGAACAAAUGUGUAAGUAACUAUGCACGUCUUGACGGUACCUAAUCAGAAAGCCACGGCUAACUACGUG